UGGGUGGUCUUUGUGUCUGUUACAUGAGGGAAGGUUCAGGUUGGAUAUUGGGAACAAUUUAUUCUCCCAAAGAGAGGUGCUGCAGUGUCACAGACUGCGCAGGGAGUGGUGGGGUCACCAUCCCUGCAGGUGUUCCAGAACCAUGGAGAUGUGGCACCGAUGGCCGUGGCUCCUUCCCCACUCUCCAACCCUGCAUGGAUGAAGCCUGGAGGAACCUCAUACCCUCUGCUUAAUUCGGAAUCAUUGAGGCUGGAGAAGACCUCCAAGAUCACCAAGUCAAGGCUCACCAGGACGUGGGAUGAAGAGCAGGACAGAACCAUGGGCACAUGCAAGGAACCACUGCAGUGACACCAACCCCCUGAGGAAAGCAGCUGGACAAUGAGUUACAAUAAAAGGAUUUUUUUUUCCCUUUAGAAAUAAUAACAUAAAAUGAA
This is a non-coding RNA of Meleagris gallopavo (turkey), 434 nucleotides long. The record is from RefSeq and is a predicted model, not a curated record. Lineage: Eukaryota; Metazoa; Chordata; Aves; Galliformes; Phasianidae.